CAAAAGUGCGGUGGGAGCUUGCUCACACAAGCACGCUUGCAUGAGAGACGCUAACCCACAUGAGCAAAAAACUACGCGAACAGCGUGAGCGAAGUGAUUUGCGAAUGCGGGUAGGAUUGCGGGAAUGCGCCAGCAUGAAGCAAUCCGCGGG
Molecule: small RNA, 151 nt
Filed under: uncultured Marvinbryantia sp.
Lineage: Bacteria; Bacillati; Bacillota; Clostridia; Lachnospirales; Lachnospiraceae
Description: Clostridiales-1 RNA
Rfam family: Clostridiales-1 RNA
Source: RNAcentral